GAAUAACGCUGGCGGCGUGCCUAACGACAUGCAAGUCGUACGAGAAAGUCCCGUUCGCGGGAUGAGUAAAGUGGCGAACGGUGAGUAAGCGUUGGUGACCUGCCCCGAAGCGAGGGAUAACAGUUCGAAAGAACUGCUAAUACCUCAUGUGAUCACCGGUUUUAGAAUCUGGUGAUUAAAGGUGAAAAUCACUUCGGGAGGGGCCUGCGUCCCAUCAGCUAGUUGUAAGGUAAUGGCUUACCAAGGCGACGAUCCGUAGCGGGUCUGAGAGGAUGAUCCGCCACACUGGGACUGAGACACGGCCCAGACUCCUACGGGAGGCAGCAGUGGGGAAUUUUUGGACAAUGGGCGCAAGCCUGAUCCAGCCAUGCCGCGUGAGUGAAGAAGGCCUUCGGGUUGUAAAGCUCUUUCGGCGGGGAAGAAAUUGCACUGGCUAAUACCGAGUGUAGAUGACGGUACCCGCAUAAGAAGCACCGGCUAACUACGUG
RNAcentral lists this ribosomal RNA (488 nucleotides) under uncultured bacterium. Its description in RNAcentral is "bacterial SSU rRNA". It matches the Rfam family "Bacterial small subunit ribosomal RNA", at positions 32 to 507 of the family's 1533-position model. The record is from RNAcentral.